CAGCAGCCGCGGGAAUACAGAGGGUGCGAGCGUUAAUCGGAUUUACUGGGCGUAAAGCGUGCGUAGGCGGCUUUUUAAGUCGGAUGUGAAAUCCCUGAGCUUAACUUAGGAAUUGCAUUCGAUACUGGGAAGCUAGAGUAUGGGAGAGGAUGGUAGAAUUCCAGGUGUAGCGGUGAAAUGCGUAGAGAUCUGGAGGAAUACCGAUGGCGAAGGCAGCCAUCUGGCCUAAUACUGACGCUGAGGUACGAAAGCAUGGGGAGCAAACAGGAUUAGAUACCCGCGUAGUCCCUGUCUCUUAUAA
RNAcentral lists this ribosomal RNA (301 nucleotides) under uncultured bacterium. RNAcentral's name for it is "partial 16S ribosomal RNA". It matches the Rfam family "Bacterial small subunit ribosomal RNA", at positions 509 to 809 of the family's 1533-position model. The record is from RNAcentral.